UACGUAGGGGUCUAGCGUUGUCCGGAAUUAUUGGGCGUAAAGAGCUCGUAGGCGGUUCGGCAAGUCGGAUGUGAAAUCUCCACGCUUAACGUGGAGGGGCCAUUCGAAACUGCCGUGACUCGAGUCCGGUAGGGGAGUGCGGAAUUCCCGGUGUAGUGGUGAAAUGCGUAGAUAUCGGGAGGAACACCAGUGGCGAAGGCGACUACCUGGCCUGUUCUUGACGCUGAGGCGCGAAAGCUAGGGGAGCAAACGGG
RNAcentral lists this ribosomal RNA (254 nucleotides) under uncultured bacterium. RNAcentral's name for it is "partial 16S ribosomal RNA". It matches the Rfam family "Bacterial small subunit ribosomal RNA", at positions 524 to 776 of the family's 1533-position model. The record is from RNAcentral.